GAAAAAGCUGUGACAAGAUGAGUAAGCUAAUUCUCGUGCUUAGAGAGUCGUAUUUUUGGUGCAAAACGAUGACGUGGUUAGUUGAAGAUGGUCUUGAAGAAGCUACUGGGGCCAUCUCAGUCGGAGCGAUCCGUUACGAUCAUGAUAAGUCCCUGUGGGAAAAUCUCGGUGGUAACACGCAAACGCGUCCUAGAA
RNAcentral lists this non-coding RNA (195 nucleotides) under Lactiplantibacillus plantarum. The record is from RNAcentral. Lineage: Bacteria; Bacillati; Bacillota; Bacilli; Lactobacillales; Lactobacillaceae.